Long non-coding RNA from Pseudoliparis swirei, 483 nucleotides. RefSeq lists it as uncharacterized. The transcript has 2 exons. Lineage: Eukaryota; Metazoa; Chordata; Actinopteri; Perciformes; Liparidae. The record is from RefSeq and is a predicted model, not a curated record.
ACACAGUGGGUUGGACGGAUACAUCAGAUUAAUGUUAGAUGUUAACUAUUUAAGAUAUUGUGCCAUCAGAGGGAUUUUUGCCAGAGAUAUUGUGCUAUUCCUGAAUAGGUUACUAUAAAUCACGGGCCGUCUCAUAAAAGCACAGAGGUUUUUAAGGGGUGUCUUCCUUACUUCAGUGAAAUGAUGUGUGAAAUUGGGAUUUUCCACACAGGCAGAGUCCUAAAUCUGCCGAGGAAUACCAGUGAUGAGUCAAACCAGCUCCCCAUCCAGUGGCUCACCACACCAGGCAUCUAUCACAGAUGGAAACCCGGAGGUUUGCUGCCUGCUCAUUCCGGGCCAGUCGGAGCUGCAAGUGAUCAGACGGCCGAACGCAUCACGGCUGUGUUUUCUCAGCCGGAGAGUCGUUCCGUGAUUUUUACUGGACCUCAAACUCACACGAAGAACAUAGACUUGAAGCCUGAAUAAACUCCUAAAGUGCAUUAA